RNAcentral lists this long non-coding RNA (649 nucleotides) under Phascolarctos cinereus (koala). RNAcentral's name for it is "lncRNA (ENSPCIG00000025806.2)". The record is from RNAcentral. Lineage: Eukaryota; Metazoa; Chordata; Mammalia; Diprotodontia; Phascolarctidae.
CCUUUGGCUAUUCGGCAAUGGUGUCCCAUUAAUAAGAAGGAAGGUAGGGGUGGUGGUAAAGUGGGUGGGGAGACAGGGCAGACAGAAAAUAAGAGUUCUGUCACUCAACUGUUUUACCCGGUUAAUAUGUCCAAACCAUGAGAGCAAUUGCAGUGGACAGAUAUCGUCCUUAAUUCCCCGCGGGGUUCUGGUAUCUUUGUCCAAGUAGUCAAACCAUGUGCCUAAUGCCUCAGCAGCUGUUAAUAACCCACCCUCCAACACCAGGUGGUUAAGGCCUUCCCUAGAGAAACUGACAUCUACAGGACAAUAUAGCAACCCUGAGCUCUUCCUUUUGGAAUCCAGAUCCACAAGGACAGAAAGACUGAUGUGCUGCUGAUACCUGCUUCUAUUACAAUGCCUUCUGCAUGGAUUAUCAUUAUUAAUUGCUAGAGUGAUUUUGGAAUUUCUACAAAGUUUGGUUUUCAUUUCCAUUGGCUUUAAAAGAACAAAAGGUAAGCAAGAAUGUAACUUUAGUAAAGUUAUAAUCUCAUUCAGAAUACAAGUCUUUCUUCAUUUCAAAAUUUAAAAAAAAUUAUUAGAAGUUGGCUGGAAUAAGAAACUAUAAAAAUGAGCAGACAUCCACACGUAACUUUAUUUUAGUCAAAACGGC